This 346-nucleotide unclassified non-coding RNA is filed under the name soil metagenome. RNAcentral describes it as "partial contains 5.8S ribosomal RNA, internal transcribed spacer 2, and large subunit ribosomal RNA". The stretch from base 1 to 120 matches the Rfam family "5.8S ribosomal RNA", at positions 35 to 154 of the family's 154-position model. The record is from RNAcentral.
GAUGAAGAACGUAGCAAAAUGCGAUAAGUAAUGUGAAUUGCAGAAUUCAGUGAAUCAUCGAAUCUUUGAACGCACAUUGCGCCCGCUGGUAUUCCGGCGGGCAUGCCUGUUCGAGCGUCAUUUCAACCCUCAAGCCCCCGGGUUUGGUGUUGGGGAUCGGCUCUGCCUUCUGGCGGUGCCGCCCCCGAAAUACAUUGGCGGUCUCGCUGCAGCCUCCAUUGCGUAGUAGCUAACACCUCGCAACUGGAACGCGGCGCGGCCAUGCCGUAAAACCCCAACUUCUGAAUGUUGACCUCGGAUCAGGUAGGAAUACCCGCUGAACUUAAGCAUAUCAAUAAGCGGAGGA